This is a long non-coding RNA of Carcharodon carcharias (great white shark), 2332 nucleotides long. RefSeq lists it as uncharacterized. The transcript has 4 exons. NCBI's taxonomy places the organism in Eukaryota, Metazoa, Chordata, Chondrichthyes, Lamniformes, Lamnidae. The record is from RefSeq and is a predicted model, not a curated record.
ACUGAGGCUCAGAUAACAGGCAAUUAACUUUAGCCUUUUGGUGGAAACUCACCGUUCUUAGGCUGCCAUAAUUUCUUUCAUCUCAAUUUAAUAAUUUAUUUUGUUCAUGUUUAUGCAAAGACUUUUAAAACUCCAUUGUUUGCUGAAUUAAGAGUCUUUUAAAAGGAAAGAUGCUCUGCUGGAUUCUAGUUCAGUGUGGAAGACAGAAGAUCCUCAGUGGGCAAGAACAAAAUUCUCUUCAAGCUUUUGGCAUCACUGAAUCUAUUCUAAAUAAUCUGAAUUAAAAACAGAAAUGGCACAUGUAGAACAGAGCAAUGCAUAAGGAACAAAGACCUCAAAUGUGGCAGGCUCUAUGCCAGCCUGUUGCUUCAAUCUACAUCAUAUUACAGUGCAUAACUGGUUCUUUAUUUAAAGCAAAGAGUCUGGAAUUUCUAAAAUUGAGAGCCAUUCUCAUGAAAUCGUGCGAGCAUCACGCAAAUGAGAUUCUUUUUGACCUAUCAUUGUACUGAAAGACACACCUGUCAACGGCCAAAGGCAAAGCAGAUUGGUCUGCAGUAAAGAAUGCACCUGCGCAGGGGAGGGGUGGGAGCUGCAUGUAAGUAGAAACUCUCUCGACGUCCCCUGUCUCUUUGCUUCUUCACCUCGUUCGAGCAACAUCACUUCGAUUGCCUCCGAGUUUCUGUAUGUGAAGUUGGAGAACAGAGAGUUGCUUUUGUUAAAUUUAUUUUUGAAUAGUUUUGAAGUAGAGGCGUCAUGGUUUCUUUUUGUUAGCUAUUAAGUUGCAGAGAAUUCAUCUGCGAAGUUCUUCCCAAUCAACAAGUGGAGUCAUCAGACAACAAAGAAAAUCAUCUUUGCUGCAACGUGAAAGCCAUGACUUGUGAAAGUUUUCAGUUUUUGAAGCAUUUGUGGAGUGAAAGGUUAAAGUGCUUGCAGGCACAGAAUUAAAGCAUUCUGUUUGUUUCAUCGUCUUGCUGACCUUGACAUGUAGGUAUAUUGGUUAAACUAGGAGGUCAGUUGUGAAGCGGAAAUAAUACUGGUAGAAUAAAAACCUCUUAUUCUUAGUUUGGUGAGUUGUUCGGUAGCGUUGAGCAUUAUUUUGUAACUGUAGGGAAAUAAUGUAAGUAGUGUCAGUCUCUUGUCAGUAUCUGUUAGAUGGAAAAGGCUGACACAAGAAUUGAAACGUGUCUCUUUCAACCAGUUUAACCAGUCGGGGCAGGUAAAGACAGCGUGGAGAAACCCAAGGAUGGAGAUCUGAAAGUAAAGCCUCAUUUAGCCUUUGAAGUCAGCAGCUUCAGGAAUUACUGUUUCUUAGAAGUUGCAUAUACGUAAAAUGCUCUCCCAAGGAGGUUCGGACAGCUUUUUAUCCAUUCAUAUUGUUUUUAUGUGGGCAGACAUAUAUAAGAAAAGGAAGGCUACAGUACUGAACAUGUGGCUUAGAGAACUCAAAGAUUGUUUUAGUAGGUCUUUUAUUAAAUUGAAACUUUUGGCUAAUUUUCAAACAUAACUUUAGGAGUACCAUAGUUUUUUUUGAGAAGUAUUUAAUGUUUAGCUAUUUACCAACAAGUUUAAAAACACACUUUCAAAUCUAUUCUGUUUUUGUCCUGUUGGAUGAAUUUUCUGGAUUGUCUUGAUUGAGGCCCUACUCCAAGCUUGGCUUGUUGUUACUUGUUUAGUAUGAGAUAGAGUUCUAAAGUCUUCAGACAAAAGAAUACUACCUUUCUGUUUACCUUGGUAAGCUAGUACCUUAGACUAGACACAAUAUCGAGCUCAAAGGUGCAAUUUCUUUGUUCAACUUCAUGGUUGCGAAGAGCAUUUUAGUUUUCCCGAUGCAAAUGUUCUCUUGGUUUCUUUAUCUAGCUAUCCCAAACUGCUCAACUAAGAUGAGUUUACUCAACGGGGCAAAAGGCCUUGUAAAUAGAACCUAUUGUCACAAUUUUAGAUAUGUGAGUUUUUAAAAAUUCUGAAUCCUUCAACUUAUUACUGGAUGAGUAAGAAGCAUUUACCUCCACUUUACCCCAGUGAAGACUUUAAUAGUGUUCCAGACGAGUAGAGAUGCUUGUAGAAAUUAUAAUAUCUUGACCUUCGACAGAAAUAGUUUAAAAAACAUUUGUAGAAUGAGUUGAUAUUUUAUUUUAAUGUGUCUAAAUAUUUUUACGUAAUGUUGAUAGAUUAUUAGUUUUAGCUGUUGCUUCAGCUAUAUUUGACUGCAAUUUAUUAUUUUCAUUUGAUUUGCUAAUUCCCAUAAUAACACAAAAUUGCACUUUGUUAAAGUUAAGCUAUUUACAUUUUUAUUUUCACGUCAGCUAUUUGUAAAAUUUAGUUCCACAUACAA